RNAcentral lists this long non-coding RNA (2030 nucleotides) under Ananas comosus (pineapple). RNAcentral describes it as "long non-coding RNA (ACOM_LNC027733)". Lineage: Eukaryota; Viridiplantae; Streptophyta; Magnoliopsida; Poales; Bromeliaceae. The record is from RNAcentral.
UCAAAUCAUUUUUUAUGAUAGAGAUACCGAAUCCAUGAUCGGAAUCAUUGAAAUUGAUCUAGAGUAUUUGAAUUAUUCAGGAACUAAAUUUUAUAAAUUUUAAAAUUUAUUUACAUAGUGAUCAAAGUAUUGCAAAAUUGACAAUUUUUUACGGUCUAUAUGAGCUAAUUGCUUGUAUGCAAAUAACUCCGAUUGUAAAUUGAGAAAGCCUAACCUCUGUUUUCAAAAGGUCAUUUAUUUUUGACCGUUCAUUUUUCGACUUUUCGAUAGAUUUGAUAAUAAUUUUUAAAAAUUAUAAAAUUCAGCUUCUAAAUAUUUCUAAUAGUAUAGAUCAAUUUCAACGAUGUUGAUUAUCAAUUUGAAGUCUCGAUCAUCCAAAUCGACUUGAUAGGAUUUAGGCUUCUAUCCUCUUAAGAGGAUAGUAGCCCGAUAUAUAUAUAUAUAUAUAUAUAUAUAUAUAUAGUCCAGCUACUAUACUUUUAUGAGUACGAUCGCCCUCAUACUCAUAAGUUGUUUUCGAUGAUAGAGCUUCCGAAUCAAUGAUCCACACCGUUAAACGUUAUCUAGAGUAUAUGAAACUUCUAGAAAAUAAAUUUCGUAAUUUUUCGAAAUCAUAAUAAAGUUCAUCAAACGGGUAUAAAAUGAACGGUCAAAAUCGAACGACGUUUUAAAAGUGGAUGUUCGGAUCCUUCAAUUUAAUAUCGGAGUUAUUGAUCUUGAUCGGAGUUAUUGAUCUUUAUCUAUAUAGUGAAUAGAAUUUUCUAUCAAAAAUUCAACCGAUUUCGAUUUUUUUACACGAUUAAACUAACAAAUAUUCCAUACCGAUCGUUAAAAAUUGUCAAUUUUGUGACCUUUUGAUUGUAAGGUAAAUGGUGUUAAAAAAUUAUAAAAUUUUAUUUCUAGACGUUUUAAAUGCUCUAGAUAACGUUUUAACGGUGUGAAUCGUCGAUUCGGAAGCUCUAUCAUCAGUAUGAGUACGAGGGCGAUCAUACUCAUAAGAGUAUAGUAGCCGGACUGAGUAUAGAGUAUUUAAAACGUCUAGAAAUCAAAUUUUAUAAUUUUUUGACAUCAUUUACCUUACGAUCAAAAGGUCACAAAAUUGACAAUUUUUAACGGUCGGUAUGGAAUAUUUAUUAGUUUAAUGGUGUAAAAGAAUUAAAAUCGGUUGAAUUUUUGAUAGAAAAUUCUAUUCACUACAUAGAUAAAGAUCAAUAACUCCAAUCUAUCCGAACAUCCAUUUUUAAUAUGUCGUUUGAUUUUGACUGUUCAUUUUAUGCCCGUUUGAUGAACUUUAUUAUCAUUUUGAAAAAUUACGAAAUUUAUUUUUUAGAAGUUUCAAAUAUUCUAAAUUAUAUUUAAUAGUGGAUCGUCGAUUCAGAAGCUUUAUCAUUAAAAACAGCUAAUGAGUUUGAAGGACUCUAUACUCAUAAAAGUAUAAUAGCUCUAACUCUAUAUGAGUCCGUCUCCGGUACUUUCGAAAGUACGGGAGGCCCUGUGCUUGUAAAUUAUUUUCGAUGAUAGGACGUCCGAUUCGACGAUCGGCUCCGUUAGGUAUGAUCUAUCCUAUUGGAACUAUCUAGAAACCAAAUUUUAGAUUUUUUUGACAUCAUUUACUAAGCGAUCAAAAUGUCUAAAAAAUGACUAGUUUAACGGCCGAUGUGGCACAUUUUUAAGUUCAACGGUGUAGAAGUAUCCAAAUUACAUGAAAAUUUAAUAGAAAAUUCUACUUAACAUCAGUAGCAAGAUCAAUACUUCCGAUUUAAAAUUUGAAUCCUUUAUCACCGUUUUUUAUGAGAUUUUUAUUUUCAGCCGUUCAUUUUGAGGCCACUCGUUCACUAGACAAACGAAAUAAAAAAAUUAUGAAAUUCAGUUUCUAGAUAGUUCCAAUAGCGUAGAUCAAGUUUAACGGAACCGAUCGCCGAAUUGAAUGUCCCAUCAUCGAAAACAACUUACAAGCACGGAACCUCCCGUACUUUCGAAAACAUAGGAGCCUAGCUAUAUAUAUAUAUAUAUAUAUAUAUAUAUAUAUA